Molecule: ribosomal RNA, 500 nt
Filed under: uncultured bacterium
Lineage: Bacteria
Description: partial 16S ribosomal RNA
Rfam family: Bacterial small subunit ribosomal RNA
Source: RNAcentral
AUUGAACGCUGGCGGCAUGCCUUACACAUGCAAGUCGAACGGCAGCGCGGACUUCGGUCUGGCGGCGAGUGGCGAACAGGUGAGUAAUACAUCGGAACGUACCCUGUUGUGGGGGAUAACUAGUCGAAAGAUUAGCUAAUAACGCAUACGACCUGAGGGUGAAAGUGGGGGACGGCAAGGCCUCACGCAGCAGGAGCGGCCGAUGUCUGAGUAGCUAGUUGGUGGGGUAAAGGCCAACCAAGGCGACGAUCAGUAGCUGGUCUGAGAGGACGAUCAGCCACACUGGGACUGAGACACGGCCCAGACUCCUACGGGAGGCAGCAGUGGGGAAUUUUGGACAAUGGGGGCAACCCUGAUCCAGCAAUGCCGCGUGUGUGAAGAAGGCCUUCGGGUUGUAAAGCACUUUUGUCCGGAAAGAAAUCGCGCUGGUUAAUACCUGGCGUGGAUGACGGUACCGGAAGAAUAAGCACCGGCUAACUACGUGCCAGCCGCCGCGGUAA